Molecule: small nuclear RNA, 167 nt
Organism: Prosopis cineraria
Lineage: Eukaryota; Viridiplantae; Streptophyta; Magnoliopsida; Fabales; Fabaceae
Product: U1 spliceosomal RNA
Exons: 1
Source: RefSeq, a predicted model, not a curated record
AUACUUACCUGGAUAGGGUCAAUGGGUGAUCAAGAAAAUGCUUACAAAAAAAAAAGGUCGGUGGCCUUCAUUGCACUUAGAAGGGGUGCCUGUUUAAGGUCUCCUUGAGAUGGAGAGCCUAUGUCAUAGUUUGUUGUGGUGGGGGUUUGCGUUCGUGCAGCCUCUUC